Camelus ferus (Wild Bactrian camel) is the source of this 72-nucleotide transfer RNA. It matches the Rfam family "tRNA". Rfam says of the family: Transfer RNA (tRNA) molecules are approximately 80 nucleotides in length. Their secondary structure includes four short double-helical elements and three loops (D, anti-codon, and T loops). NCBI's taxonomy places the organism in Eukaryota, Metazoa, Chordata, Mammalia, Artiodactyla, Camelidae. The record is from Rfam.
GAGAGUAUAGCUCAGGGGCAGAGCGCAUGCUUAGCAUGCAGGAGGUCUUGGGUUCCAUCCCCAGUACCUCCA